CACGUAGGGCGCAAGCGUUGUCCGGAAUUAUUGGGCGUAAAGAGCUCGUACGCGGUCUGUUGCGUCCGCUGUGAAAACUCGGGGCUUAACCCCGAGCCUGCAGUGGAUACGGGCAGACUAGAGGUAGGUAGGGGAGAAUGGAAUUCCCGGUGUAGCGGUGAAAUGCGCAGAUAUCGGGAGGAACACCGGUGGCGAAGGCGGUUCUCUGGGCCUGUACUGACGCUGAGGAGCGAAAGCGUGGGGAGCGAACAGG
This 253-nucleotide ribosomal RNA is filed under the name uncultured bacterium. Its description in RNAcentral is "partial 16S ribosomal RNA". It matches the Rfam family "Bacterial small subunit ribosomal RNA", at positions 524 to 776 of the family's 1533-position model. The record is from RNAcentral.